CCUACGGGUGGCAGCAGUGAGGAAUAUUGGUCAAUGGUCGGGAGUCUGAACCAGCCAUGCCGCGUGCGGGAGGAAGGCACUGUGUAUUGUAAACUUCUUUUGUACGGGAAUAAACACUGGUACGCGUAUCUGUCUGAGAGUAUCGUACGAAUAAGGAUCGGCUAACUCCGUGCCAGCAGCCGCGGUAAUACGGAGGAUUCGAGCGUUAUCCGGAUUUAUUGGGUUUAAAGGGUGCGUAGGCGGUCGGAUAAGUUAGCGGUGAAAGCCCGAGGCUCAACUGCGGAAGUGCCUGUGAUACUGGUAGGCUAGAGUGUAGGUGCGGUAGGCGGAAUGUGCGGUGUAGCGGUGAAAUGCUUAGAUAUCAUACAGAACACCGAUUGCGAAGGCAGCAUACCAAGUUACCUCUGACGGUGAGGCACGAAAGCGUGGGGAUCAAACAGGAUUAGAUACCCGUGUAGUC
RNAcentral lists this ribosomal RNA (460 nucleotides) under uncultured bacterium. RNAcentral's name for it is "partial 16S ribosomal RNA". It matches the Rfam family "Bacterial small subunit ribosomal RNA", at positions 338 to 795 of the family's 1533-position model. The record is from RNAcentral.